AGAGUUUGAUCCUGGCUCAGGACGAACGCUGGCGGCGUGCUUAACACAUGCAAGUCGAGCGGUAAGGCCCUUCGGGGUACACGAGCGGCGAACGGGUGAGUAACACGUGGGUAACCUGCCCUUAGCUUUGGGAUAAGCCUGGGAAACUGGGUCUAAUACCGGAUAGGACUGCAUCCUGCAUGGGGUGUGGUGGAAAGUUC
RNAcentral lists this ribosomal RNA (200 nucleotides) under uncultured bacterium. RNAcentral describes it as "partial 16S ribosomal RNA". It matches the Rfam family "Bacterial small subunit ribosomal RNA", at positions 8 to 210 of the family's 1533-position model. The record is from RNAcentral.